GUCUAUCUGAAGAGUCCCAAAUUGGGCGAAACUCGCGUCCUGGAU
This 45-nucleotide non-coding RNA is filed under the name Schistosoma mattheei. Lineage: Eukaryota; Metazoa; Platyhelminthes; Trematoda; Strigeidida; Schistosomatidae. The record is from RNAcentral.